AAUAAAAAGACCGAAGCCACAGGAGAAAGUGUCUGUCCAAGACCAGAGAGGUUUGAACCAGCUAAAAAGAACUCCAAGUGAAAUGACUCAGAGCACUAAAUGGAAAAACAAAGACGAGAGAAAGGAAAAUAAAACCAGGAUUUUCUGUAAGAACUGCUCUCUGUAGACCUCACCAUCACCAUCCCGCCGGUUCAGUCAAGCGGUGUUUGAUCAAAGCCUGAGAGGACUUUUGGUUCGGGCCUACAGCUGUUAGCAUGCAGCCCAGAGAGGGUCAGCUGUCUGUGACCCCAGCUGCAGGUACUGUCAUCUGUAUGGAGCCGCCCUGUGGAGCUUGUUAGCUGUCUGAGCUAAUUGGAGGGUCUUCACUGCACAGAUGCUGACGCACUUCAAAGGAGUUCCCCUUCAAAGAGCAGACAGGUCAGAGAGGGAAUAGAAGGAGGAUAUGAAUAAAUGCAUGAUUUCAUUUCUCAUUUCAGAGUGGAGAACCUGGAGUUUCUUUGUAUAAAUAAUUUUCUGUUGGCUUUGGUAAAUUUGUCAACAUUUCCAAUCUGCAUUGUGUUUGCAUCAACAAGCUUGUGCAGCCAUAAUUCUUUUGCUGUGGCAGCCUCUAUAUUUUCUGGAAAGACUUCCCAACAGGUUAGUGAAUGGGUUCUGUGACUUUCAUCAGGCCUGGCUCUUCAUCUUGGGAAGACAUUAAGAGAGCCAAAAGAGAAUAUAACCCCCACUCAAGACAAUGCCUGUAACUCCACCAGAUGUACCAGAGCACGUUUCAAAACUUGUCUCGAAGAAAAUCUGUUUGGGGAUAAAGGACUGAAUUUGGUUUCCAAAAUGAAAGAAACUGUGCAGGCUAAACACUCAGCUUCUGAAAUGUUUGCGAGUUGAAGCCUUGGAACAAAACUGUAUGAGACGCCACAUCAAAUGGAAGCACUCGAAGGGUUUGGAUGGGGCUGAGGAAGACCAGUAUCAUCUUUAUUUUUACUUAUCUAGGUAUCUGGAAAAGCUUCCCAAAACAACAGAAUAAUCUUUGUCUAACGCAUGAAAUGUAAUUUUAUAGU
Molecule: long non-coding RNA, 1055 nt
Organism: Astatotilapia calliptera (eastern happy)
Lineage: Eukaryota; Metazoa; Chordata; Actinopteri; Cichliformes; Cichlidae
Source: Ensembl